UACGUAGGUGGCAAGCGUUGUCCGGAUUUACUGGGCGUAAAGGGCGCGUAGGCGGUCCGGCGCGUCCGGGGUGAAAGCCUCCAGCUUAACUGGAGAAGUGCCCCGGAUACGGCCGGACUCGAGUGGGGUAGGGGCGUGUGGAACUUCCGGUGGAGCGGUGAAAUGCGUAGAUAUCGGAAGGAACGCCGGUGGCGAAAGCGGCACGCUGGACCCCUUCGUGACGCUGAGGCGCGAAAGCCAGGGGAGCGAACGGG
This 254-nucleotide ribosomal RNA is filed under the name uncultured bacterium. Its description in RNAcentral is "partial 16S ribosomal RNA". It matches the Rfam family "Bacterial small subunit ribosomal RNA", at positions 524 to 776 of the family's 1533-position model. The record is from RNAcentral.